UCUCAGUUCGGAUUGGAGUCUGCAACUCGACCCCACGAAGCUGGAUUCGCUAGUAAUCGCGCAUCAGCCAUGGCGCGGUGAAUACGUUCCCGGGCCUUGUACACACCGCCCGUCAAGCCAUGAAAGCCGGGGGCGCCUGAAGUCCGUGACCGCGAGGGUCGGCCUAGGGUGAAACCGGUGAUUGGGGCUAAGUCGUAACAAGGUAAC
RNAcentral lists this ribosomal RNA (207 nucleotides) under uncultured bacterium. Its description in RNAcentral is "partial 16S ribosomal RNA". It matches the Rfam family "Bacterial small subunit ribosomal RNA", at positions 1286 to 1500 of the family's 1533-position model. The record is from RNAcentral.